CUACGCACUCCUACGGGAGGCAGCAGUGGGGAAUAUUGCACAAUGGGCGCAAGCCUGAUGCAGCAACGCCGCGUGAGGGAUGAAGGCCUUCGGGUUGUAAACCUCUUUAGCAGGGAAGAAGCGAAAGUGACGGUACCUGCAGAAAAAGCACCGGCUAACUACGUGCCAGCAGCCGCGGUAAUACGUAGGGUGCAAGCGUUGUCCGGAAUUAUUGGGCGUAAAGAGCUCGUAGGCGGUUUGUCACGUCUGCUGUGAAAAUCCAAGGCUCAACCUUGGACUUGCAGUGGGUACGGGCAGGCUAGAGUGCGGUAGGGGAGAUGGGAAUUCCUGGUGUAGCGGUGGAAUGCGCAGAUAUCAGGAGGAACACCAAUGGCGAAGGCACAUCUCUGGGCCGUAACUGACGCUGAGGAGCGAAAGCGUGGGGAGCGAACAGGAUUAGAUACCCUGGUAG
This 451-nucleotide ribosomal RNA is filed under the name uncultured bacterium. RNAcentral's name for it is "bacterial SSU rRNA". It matches the Rfam family "Bacterial small subunit ribosomal RNA", at positions 329 to 793 of the family's 1533-position model. The record is from RNAcentral.